This is a small nuclear RNA of Macaca mulatta (Rhesus monkey), 102 nucleotides long. Lineage: Eukaryota; Metazoa; Chordata; Mammalia; Primates; Cercopithecidae. The record is from Ensembl.
GCUCGCCUCAGCAGCAUAUACUAAAAUUGGAACAAUACAGAGAGGAUGAGCAUGGCCCCUACACAAGGAUGACAUGCGAAUUCGAAAGUAUUCCAUAUUUUG